AGAGUUUGAUCAUGGCUCAGGAUGAACGCUAGCGGCAGGCUUAACACAUGCAAGUCGAGGGGUAUAGGUUUUCGGACCUAGAGACCGGCGCACGGGUGCGUAACGCGUAUGCAAUCUACCUUUUACAGAGGGAUAGCCCAGAGAAAUUUGGAUUAAUACCUCAUAGUAUUAUUGAAUGGCAUCAUUUAAUAAUUAAAGUCACAACGGUAAAAGAUGAGCAUGCGUCCCAUUAGCUUGUUGGUAAGGUAACGGCUUACCAAGGCAACGAUGGGUAGGGGUCCUGAGAGGGAGAUCCCCCACACUGGUACUGAGACACGGACCAGACUCCUACGGGAGGCAGCAGUGAGGAAUAUUGGUCAAUGGGCGCAAGCCUGAACCAGCCAUGCCGCGUGCAGGAUGACGGUCCUAUGGAUUGUAAACUGCUUUUGUACAGGAAGAAACAGUUCUACGUGUAGAACCUUGACGGUACUGUAAGAAUAAGGAUCGGCUAACUCCGUGCCAGCAGCCGCGGUAAUACGGAGGAUCCAAGCGUUAUCCGGAAUCAUUGGGUUUAAAGGGUCCGUAGGCGGUUUUGUAAGUCAGUGGUGAAAGCCCAUCGCUCAACGGUGGAACGGCCAUUGAUACUGCAAGACUUGAAUUAUUAGGAAGUAACUAGAAUAUGUAGUGUAGCGGUGAAAUGCUUAGAGAUUACAUGGAAUACCAAUUGCGAAGGCAGGUUACUACUAAUGGAUUGACGCUGAUGGACGAAAGCGUGGGGAGCGAACAGGAUUAGAUACCCUAGUAGUCC
This 787-nucleotide ribosomal RNA is filed under the name uncultured bacterium. RNAcentral's name for it is "bacterial SSU rRNA". It matches the Rfam family "Bacterial small subunit ribosomal RNA", at positions 8 to 796 of the family's 1533-position model. The record is from RNAcentral.